Molecule: long non-coding RNA, 504 nt
Organism: Diuraphis noxia (Russian wheat aphid)
Lineage: Eukaryota; Metazoa; Arthropoda; Insecta; Hemiptera; Aphididae
Source: RefSeq, a predicted model, not a curated record
AAAUUAUUUAACAAACAGCACAUUUUUAGCAGCGAUUUUUGUUGAUCCUCGAUACCAGUGUUUAUUAACUCCUGAACAACAACAAAUAGCUAUAAUUCGUCUUGUCGAAACAUGGGAGACAUUACUAGAAUAGAGACUCUCCUAUUGACGAAUUUCCAGAAGCUACCGAUAAUGAUGAAUCAACCAUUGAGAGUACUAUCGAAAGUAGCCAAGACUCUACAGAUCCAUUUGAAGAUUUUUUAUCAUCGCAAUCUUCUCUUAAAUCAAAUUCAUCUGCCUCGUCCUUAACAGUAGCUUCCCUAAGUACAUUAAAUAUGUUGAAUGGUUUUAAAAAUGUUGAGCGCAUUUCAUAUACUGCCGAUAUUUUGCAAUAUUGGAAAACACGACAAUUAACAGAUCCACAACUUUAUCAAUUGGCAAGUGUAGUCUUAGCAGUUCCAGCGACUCAGGUCAGUGUAGAAAGGAGCUUUUCUGGAUUAAAAUUUGUUGUUUCUGAUUUGAGAA